RNAcentral lists this ribosomal RNA (396 nucleotides) under Mesacanthion sp. Ugent CeMoFe89X20C15. RNAcentral describes it as "SSU rRNA". It matches the Rfam family "Eukaryotic small subunit ribosomal RNA", at positions 29 to 424 of the family's 1831-position model. The record is from RNAcentral. Lineage: Eukaryota; Metazoa; Nematoda; Enoplea; Enoplida; Thoracostomopsidae.
AUUUUGCUUGUCUUCAAGAUUAAGCCAUGCAUGUCUCAGUACAUUCCGAUAAAUGGAGAAACCGCGAAUGGCUCAUUACAACAGCCAUAGUUUAUUAGAUCUUACUCUACUUGGAUACCUGUGGUAACCUAAGAGCUAAUACAUGCAAUCAAGUCCUGACCUUGCGGGAAGGACGCAUUUAUUAGAACAAAGCCAAUCGGGCUUGCCCGUAGUUUGGUGAAUCUGAAUAACUAUGCUGAUCGCACAGUCCUCGCACUGGCGACUCAUCUUUCAAAUGUCUGGCUUAUCAACUUUCGACGGUAGUAUACACGGCUACCGUGGUGUUGACGGGUGACGGAGAAUUAGGGUUCGACUCCGGAGAGGGAGCCUGAGAAACGGCUACCACAUCCAAGGAAG